UGAAUACAAAAAAAUAAAACAAAACGCAAUAUCUCUCUCGACCCAAAUCAACUCGCGAUGAACAAACCCUCAGCGCCGUCCUCUACCGCCGACAACGAUUGAANNNNNNNNNACCGCCUUAUCUCAGUUGUCCUCUCUCUCUCUCACUCGUCAAAUCGAAGCUUCUCACUUGAACCCUAACUCCAAAUCGAAUCUAUAAGGGAAACGAAUUGAAACUUCUCUCCGCUCUCACUAUUGUCCUCCUUUCUCCGGCCUCUACUCUCACGAAUCGAAGCUUGUCUUUCUCUUUCACUAUUGUCAAACCUUCAUCGAUUCAGG
This 318-nucleotide long non-coding RNA is filed under the name Trifolium pratense (red clover). RNAcentral describes it as "long non-coding RNA (TPRA_LNC013260)". Lineage: Eukaryota; Viridiplantae; Streptophyta; Magnoliopsida; Fabales; Fabaceae. The record is from RNAcentral.